UACGAAGGGGCUAGCGUUGUUCGGAAUUACUGGGCGUAAAGCGUGCGCAGGCGGCUUCUCAAGUCAGGGGUGAAAGCCCAGAGCUCAACUCUGGAAUUGCCUUUGAGACUGAGUGGCUUGAGUACGAGAGAGGUGAGUGGAAGUUCCCAAGUGUAGAGGUGAAAUUCGUAGAUAUCGGGAAGAACACCCGUGGCGAAGGCGGCUCUCUGGGAC
RNAcentral lists this ribosomal RNA (213 nucleotides) under uncultured bacterium. Its description in RNAcentral is "partial 16S ribosomal RNA". It matches the Rfam family "Bacterial small subunit ribosomal RNA", at positions 524 to 735 of the family's 1533-position model. The record is from RNAcentral.